Microcebus murinus (gray mouse lemur) is the source of this 511-nucleotide non-coding RNA. Lineage: Eukaryota; Metazoa; Chordata; Mammalia; Primates; Cheirogaleidae. The record is from RefSeq and is a predicted model, not a curated record.
GGGUAAGAAGCCGUGGCGUGUCAGCUGGAACGAACCUGCGGAACAGAUAGCUCAUUGAGAGAGUCCACACUGGUGUGCCGGACUCAGCGUGGCCGCCUUGCCACAGGAUGACUCCGCCAAUAUUUUCAACCUUAUCACCAACUGUUCCAUAACUCUGGCUCUCUGUUUCAGCCUUCCAGAGUUUCUGUCAAAUACUACUUACUCCACAUGUACUGCUAUUUGUUGAGAACACAGUGGUAGACCAAAAGGCAUGGCAUAUGCCCUAUGGAGCUUAUGGCCUAGUGGAGAAGAGGACAUUUAAUAGAUAAUCAUAUGACAAAAUUGGGGUCUGGACAUGUGAAAUGACUUUUCCAAAGUCACCUUGGAAGGCAAUUGAAGAAACAAGUUUCCUGUUCUAGAAUACAAGGCCAGAUUCAAUCCAAGAUUUGUUAAUUGAUAGAAUGCAAUCACUAUUUAAUUAAAAAUAGGCUGAAAUAAAAUACUAAAAUAAAAACUAGCCUGACAAAAUAGA